This 253-nucleotide ribosomal RNA is filed under the name uncultured bacterium. Its description in RNAcentral is "partial 16S ribosomal RNA". It matches the Rfam family "Bacterial small subunit ribosomal RNA", at positions 524 to 776 of the family's 1533-position model. The record is from RNAcentral.
UACGUAGGGGGCAAGCGUUGUCCGGAUUUAUUGGGCGUAAAGCGCUCGCAGGUGGUUCAUUGCGUCGUGCGUGAAAGCCCCCGGCUCAACUGGGGAGGGUCGUGCGAAACGGGUGAACUAGAGGGCAGUAGGGGGAUGCGGAAUUCCGGGUGUAGUGGUGGAAUGCGUAGAGAUCCGGAGGAACACCAGCGGCGAAGGCGGCAUCCUGGACUGGUCCUGACACUCAGGAGCGAAAGCGUGGGGAGCGAUCCGG